CCUACGGGUGGCUGCAGUGGGGAAUAUUGCACAAUGGGCGCAAGCCUGAUGCAGCCAUGCCGCGUGUGUGAAGAAGGCCUUCGGGUUGUAAAGCACUUUCAGCGGGGAGGAAGGCGUUAAGGUUAAUAACCUUGUCGAUUGACGUUACCCGCAGAAGAAGCACCGGCUAACUCCGUGCCAGCAGCCGCGGUAAUACGGAGGGUGCAAGCGUUAAUCGGAAUUACUGGGCGUAAAGCGCACGCAGGCGGUCUGUCAAGUCGGAUGUGAAAUCCCCGGGCUCAACCUGGGAACUGCAUUCGAAACUGGCAGGCUAGAGUCUUGUAGAGGGGGGUAGAAUUCCAGGUGUAGCGGUGAAAUGCGUAGAGAUCUGGAGGAAUACCGGGGGCGAAGGCGGCCCCCUGGACAAAGACUGACGCUCAGGUGCGAAAGCGUGGGGAGCAAACAGGAUUAGAUACCCUGUAGUC
Molecule: ribosomal RNA, 464 nt
Filed under: uncultured Klebsiella sp.
Lineage: Bacteria; Pseudomonadati; Pseudomonadota; Gammaproteobacteria; Enterobacterales; Enterobacteriaceae
Description: bacterial SSU rRNA
Rfam family: Bacterial small subunit ribosomal RNA
Source: RNAcentral